Molecule: ribosomal RNA, 448 nt
Filed under: uncultured bacterium
Lineage: Bacteria
Description: bacterial SSU rRNA
Rfam family: Bacterial small subunit ribosomal RNA
Source: RNAcentral
ACUCCUACGGGAGGCAGCAGUGGGGAAUCUUGCGCAAUGGGCGAAAGCCUGACGCAGCCAUGCCGCGUGGAUGAUGAAGGUCUUAGGAUUGUAAAAUCCUUUCACCGGGGACGAUAAUGACGGUACCCGGAGAAGAAGCCCCGGCUAACUUCGUGCCAGCAGCCGCGGUAAUACGAAGGGGCUAGCGUUGCUCGGAAUUACUGGGGCGUAAAGGGCGCGUAGGCGGACAGUUAAGUUGGGGGUGAAAGCCCGGGGCUCAACCUCGGAAUUGCCUUCAAUACUGGCUGUCUUGAGUACGGGAGAGGUGAGUGGAACUCCGAGUGUAGAGGUGAAAUUCGUAGAUAUUCGGAAGAACACCAGUGGCGAAGGCGACUCACUGGCCCGUUACUGACGCUGAGGCGCGAAAGCGUGGGGAGCAAACAGGAUUAGAUACCCUGGUAGGAUAGCG